Molecule: long non-coding RNA, 507 nt
Filed under: Homo sapiens (human)
Lineage: Eukaryota; Metazoa; Chordata; Mammalia; Primates; Hominidae
Description: HSALNT0199663
Source: RNAcentral
CUGUCACAACAUUUUCAUCAACUGAUCAACAUGUAACUUUGUUUUUCAUGUUUCUGUUUAAAGACAACUUAUUUAAUCUAUCUUGUUGAUUUAUUAACACUGAACUGACAGUCAACAGUACUAUAACUCAUGCCUGAAUGAAGCUUCUCCAACACACGUAUUUUCUCCAUAAGGUACAUCACAGCCUUCUUGUGCUUAGGAGCCUUCACAGCUUAGGAAUCCCGGACAGUACUUCAGCAGUAUGCUCGGAGACUAAAAAGGAGCACAAAAAUGUAGAAAACAUGGCACUACCUAGACCCUAAAAAGGACGCUUGCUUACAGCACGAGAGUUGAAACAAGAGGCAGCGCACCGCCUUGCUGGACCUCAGCUGGGAGCGUGCAUGUUGGGCGACUCAAGCUUUUCACCACUCUGCAUGUCGGCAAAUGGACACAAAAAUGCUGCAGGUAUUGAUUUUGGGGUUACAAACACAUUUUUAUGAGUAGAUGAAUUUGCAAAUACAGAAUCAG